Molecule: ribosomal RNA, 468 nt
Filed under: uncultured bacterium
Lineage: Bacteria
Description: partial 16S ribosomal RNA
Rfam family: Bacterial small subunit ribosomal RNA
Source: RNAcentral
GACGAACGCUGGCGGCGUGCUUAACACAUGCAAGUCGAACGGAAAGGCCCUGCUUUUGUGGGGUGCUCGAGUGGCGAACGGGUGAGUAACACGUGAGUAACCUGCCCUUGACUUUGGGAUAACUUCAGGAAACUGGGGCUAAUACCGGAUAGGAGCUCCUGCUGCAUGGUGGGGGUUGGAAAGUUUCGGCGGUUGGGGAUGGACUCGCGGCUUAUCAGCUUGUUGGUGGGGUAGUGGCUUACCAAGGCUUUGACGGGUAGCUGGCCUGAGAGGGUGACCGGCCACAUUGGGACUGAGAUACGGCCCAGACUCCUACGGGAGGCAGCAGUGGGGAAUAUUGCACAAUGGGCGGAAGCCUGAUGCAGCAACGCCGCGUGCGGGUUGACGGCCUUCGGGUUGUAAACCGCUUUCGCCUGUGACGAAGCGUGAGUGACGGUAAUGGGUAAAGAAGCACCGGCUAACUACGUG